GGGUUGUGAGGUUAAGCGACUAAGCGUACACGGUGGAUGCCCUGGCAGUCAGAGGCGAUGAAGGGCGUGCUAAUCUGCGAUAAGCGCCGGUAAGGUGAUAUGAACCGUUAUAACCGGCGAUACCCGAAUGGGGAAACCCAGUGUGACUCGUCACACUAUCAUUAACUGAAUCCAUAGGUUAAUGAGGCGAACCGGGGGAACUGAAACAUCUAAGUACCCCGAGGAAAAGAAAUCAACCGAGAUUCCCCCAGUAGCGGCGAGCGAACGGGGAGGAGCCCAGAGCCUGAAUCAGCAUGUGUGUUAGUGGAAGCGUCUGGAAAGUCGCGCGAUACAGGGUGACAGCCCCGUACACAAAAGCGCAUGUGCUGUGAGCUCGAUGAGUAGGGCGGGACACGUGGUAUCCUGUCUGAAUAUGGGGGGACCAUCCUCCAAGGCUAAAUACUCCUGACUGACCGAUAGUGAACCAGUACCGUGAGGGAAAGGCGAAAAGAACCCCGGCGAGGGGAGUGAAAAAGAACCUGAAACCGUGUACGUACAAGCAGUGGGAGCCCCACCACUAAGCCAGUGGUGAACUCCACAUACGCAUCCUUUGCUGAGGAUACGGUUAACGGAGCGAAAGCGACGUUCAACCUCAAAAGAAGCAGAGGGGGCUUAGUGGUGGGGUGACUGCGUACCUUUUGUAUAAUGGGUCAGCGACUUAUAUUCUGUAGCAAGGUUAACCGCAUAGGGGAGCCGGAGGGAAACCGAGUCUUAAUUGGGCGUUAAGUUGCAGGGUAUAGACCCGAAACCCGGUGAUCUAGCCAUGGGCAGGUUGAAGGUUGGGUAACACUAACUGGAGGACCGAACCGACUAAUGUUGAAAAAUUAGCGGAUGACUUGUGGCUGGGGGUGAAAGGCCAAUCAAACCGGGAGAUAGCUGGUUCUCCCCGAAAGCUAUUUAGGUAGCGCCUCGUGAACUCAUCUUCGGGGGUAGAGCACUGUUUCGGCUAGGGGGCCAUCCCGGCUUACCAACCCGAUGCAAACUGCGAAUACCGGAGAAUGUUAUCACGGGAGACACACGGCGGGUGCUAACGUCCGUCGUGAAGAGGGAAACAACCCAGACCGCCAGCUAAGGUCCCAAAGUCAUGGUUAAGUGGGAAACGAUGUGGGAAGGCCCAGACAGCCAGGAUGUUGGCUUAGAAGCAGCCAUCAUUUAAAGAAAGCGUAAUAGCUCACUGGUCGAGUCGGCCUGCGCGGAAGAUGUAACGGGGCUAAACCAUGCACCGAAGCUGCGGCAGCGACACUAUGUGUUGUUGGGUAGGGGAGCGUUCUGUAAGCCUGCGAAGGUGGCCUGUGAGGGUUGCUGGAGGUAUCAGAAGUGCGAAUGCUGACAUAAGUAACGAUAAAGCGGGUGAAAAGCCCGCUCGCCGGAAGACCAAGGGUUCCUGUCCAACGUUAAUCGGGGCAGGGUGAGUCGACCCCUAAGGCGAGGCCGAAAGGCGUAGUCGAUGGGAAACGGGUUAAUAUUCCCGUACUUGGUGUUACUGCGAAGGGGGGACGGAGAAGGCUAUGUUGGCCGGGCGACGGUUGUCCCGGUUUAAGCGUGUAGGUGUGUGUUCCAGGUAAAUCCGGUUCACUUUAACACUGAGGCGUGACGACGAGGCACUACGGUGCUGAAGCAACAAAUGCCCUGCUUCCAGGAAAAGCCUCUAAGCAUCAGGUAACAUCAAAUCGUACCCCAAACCGACACAGGUGGUC
This 1736-nucleotide ribosomal RNA is filed under the name Salmonella enterica. Its description in RNAcentral is "partial 23S ribosomal RNA". It matches the Rfam family "Bacterial large subunit ribosomal RNA", at positions 1 to 1668 of the family's 2925-position model. Lineage: Bacteria; Pseudomonadati; Pseudomonadota; Gammaproteobacteria; Enterobacterales; Enterobacteriaceae. The record is from RNAcentral.